This 148-nucleotide non-coding RNA is filed under the name Homo sapiens (human). The record is from Rfam by way of RNAcentral. Lineage: Eukaryota; Metazoa; Chordata; Mammalia; Primates; Hominidae.
GCUGGGCAUGGUGGCGUGUGCCUGUAAUCCCAGCUACUCAGGAGGCUGAGGCAGGAGAAUCGCUUGAACCCAGGAGGUGGAGGUUGCAGUGAGCCGAGAUCAUGCCAUUGCACUCCAGCCUGGGCGACAGAGCGAGACUCUCUCUCUC